Molecule: ribosomal RNA, 637 nt
Filed under: Scirtidae sp. UPOL RK0166
Lineage: Eukaryota; Metazoa; Arthropoda; Insecta; Coleoptera; Scirtidae
Description: eukaryotic LSU rRNA
Rfam family: Eukaryotic large subunit ribosomal RNA
Source: RNAcentral
GGAGUCUAGCAUGCGCGCGAGUCAUCGGGAACGUCGAAACCCGUUAGGCGAAGUGAAAGCGAAGGUCGCACCCUGGCGUGUCGACCGAGGGAAGAUGGGGCGGGCGCGCGAGCGUCUCCUCCGCAUUCCCGGGGCGUUUCGCGCUCAUCGCGAGCUGAGGCGCACCCAGAGCGUGCACGCUGGGACCCGAAAGAUGGUGAACUAUGCCUGGUCAGGACGAAGUCAGGGGAAACCCUGAUGGAGGUCCGUAGCGAUUCUGACGUGCAAAUCGAUCGUAUGAGCUGGGUAUAGGGGCGAAAGACUAAUCGAACCAUCUAGUAGCUGGUUCCCUCCGAAGUUUCCCUCAGGAUAGCUGGCGUCCGCGAUUCGGACGGAGUCUCAUCCGGUAAAGCGAAUGAUUAGAGUUAUUAGGGUCGAAACGGUCUUAAACUAUUCUCAAACUUUAAAUGGGUGAGAUCUUCGGCCUGCCCGAAUACGAGGCCGAAGAUCGGAUCUGGGUGCCAAGUGGGCCACUUUUGGUAAGCAGAACUGGCGCUGUGGGAUGAACCAAACGCAGAGUUAAAGCGCCUAAAUCGACGCUAAUGAGACACCAUGAAAGGCGUUGGUAACUUAAGACAGCAGGGCGGUGGCCAUGGAA